CAACUAUGUACUGGGGGGCUUUGGGAAGAAAAAAAAAGAAGACUGACAACAGUUGUUAGCUCAGGUGCCAAUCUUUAAAAAAAUAAAAAUAAAAUGUAAAUAUGCCAAAAUCUGAGCUGAAAAGACCAGGAUUCACGCUUAAUUAUAGCUAAUCUAGAUUUUCUCUCUCACAAGCAUACUUUUCUGCAACAGAGUUCCCCUUCCAACUGGAGACAGCAUAACCUACUGAUCCGGAAGACUCAGGUUCUAUUCCUAGUUUUAUCACCGACUUACAAAUCACUCUCAGAGUUUCCUCAUCUUCGAAAUAGGACAACAGUCCUACCAAUCUCAGCAAAGAGCACUGAGGAUAAUCCAGAGCUUUGAUUUCAAUGCUUGGUUCCCUGAAGAUUUUCUUACCUUUCCUGUGGUCUGUCCAUAAAGCCCAAAAAUCUCACGGAGUUUUUCUUCACUGAUUGCAUCUGUUCUGUCAAUUUUGUUACCCAAAAUAAGGAUUGGCACAUUGGAUAUUGUCUCAUCAGUCAUUAACGCCUAGACGAGAUAAAGAGGAGCUGAGUGAAGAUGUGCGCGAGCCCACUAGGUCAUGGAGCGACUGUGACUUCCACUUGUCUGUAACGCAGCAGACGUAAAGCGGAAAUGCGAUCAUCUUUAGACCUGAGCGAUCAACUAAAAGUUCAUCUUGACAUUAUAUAACACCCUUAGCAUUACAUAAAAAUUACCUUGACAUUAGGUAAAUAUCCUCAAAACAAUUUCAACUUAAGGCUGUAUCUAUUUACAAGGCAGCAGAACUGCCCAACCUUAACUGUGAGCUAAAUCACUCACCAAAGACCAUCCUCGGGCUACCCACUGAGCACAAUCCUCCGAGAGCGAAUGCUCUGACUCCAGAGCCUCAGAGAUGGCUACAGGACCCCCCAAGGAUUUACUGAGUGCCCCAUGUGUGCAAAGAGCAAUCUCAGGCACUGAGAGGGCUACAAAAGAAAGGAUGAGACACAUUCCUGGCCUCAAGAAAUCCUCACUCUACGUUCACAUAUCUGUCAACAAAGCAAGGCAAGUGGAUGAUUAAGUGUCACAACAAGUGGGGACAGAAUAUAAGUACUUAAAAGACGUUCAGGGAAAUAAAAUGGCAAGGUGGGCUUGAGGGAAGUCUAAUUAGCAAAGAGGUGGAACCUAAACUGGGCUCUGAAGGAGGGGGAGGAUUUCAAUAGGUGGAAAGGAGAAGGAAGAAUACAAGCAAUGGCUUUACAGUAGGAAAAGAAUUCAGGAAGCCAGAUGGAGUACCACCCGACUGGAUUAAAGCAUUUACACUGACAUGUAAUGACAGAGUAAAUGGGAUGGGAAGCGAUGACCAACAUCAUGGCAUCAGUCUGAGAAGCUAGCUGCAACAGAUCCUAAAGACCCUAAAUUCAGAAAUUACUGGAUAGAAUCUGCACUUUUAGUACAAUGAAUUCACAAACAGUAUCUAUCUGUGGUGCUCAAGCAAGAGAUGAUGAUCUAGCCUAAGAUGGAAGCAUGUAAUAAAUAGUGUAGCAGGCAUUUUGAAGAAGUGAAGAGACUGAUGUCUAAAUGACAAGAGACGAGGAGUCAAAGCUGACAGAUUUCAAGCCUGGGAAUCUAGUUCUCACUGAUAGGAAAAGCUAGGAAAGGAGAGUGGAGUUGAAGGAAUAAAGGGGAACAUGCUUUGACCAUCUUCAGUUCCAGGAGAUGUUACACAAAAUCAAAGUAAGGAUGUCAUUCAUUUAUUAAAUACUAACAAAGUACCUACUAUGUAUCCAAUGUUUUGCUAGGUGCAGAGGUUUCACAAAGAAAUAAGAUAAGGUCCUUACCAUCUAAAUUCAUGGUCCAGCGGGACAGACCUAUACAAAACCAGUAAAUACAACAGACACUGAUAAGGUGCAGAGUCUAACAGUCUGAGAGGUCAGGAAAGGAUUCCUAGAAAUGCUCAUAUCUGAACUCUGAGAUCUCUUAAAAGACAUUUCGAAAUUUACCAGCAAAUGGAGGUAGGGGGUCAGGUAAGAAAGCCAGGCAGGGAUAACUACUUCCGUAUACUUAAGGAAGGACAAGUUGUUCUCUAUGUCUCAAAUAUAGUUCAAGGUAGGCAGUAGAGAGAAAAGAAGUUGGAGAAAUAAAUAGAGGAAAGAUCGUGAAAGAUCCUCUGUGCUGUGCAAAAGAUUUGUGGAUUUCAUCCCAAAGGUGACAGAGAUUAACGGAUAUUAAGUAGGGCAAUGACAAGUCUGAGAAAGUUCCUUCUACUGGAAGCUACACUAAUUCACAGGAUUCUGGAUUGUGUACCCAGGUAGAUGAUGGGAAAGAUGAAUAGUUCCAUUCUAGGAGAACAGAUUGGUAGGUGGAGCUGUCUAGUAGCCUGCAUUAAGUAUGAGGCUGGAGCUCAAGAGAGGUUUAGACGAGAGAAAUCCAUUUGGGAGUCAUUAGCAUGGGGGUGGCAGAUGAAGGAAAGGAGUAGCCUGGACUAGCCUAGGAGAGAGUACAGACUCUGGGGAACACCAAGAUUUAAGGCCUAAGCAGAGGAACAGGGGCUUAUGAAAGAGCUUGUGAGGUACUGGCCAGAGACAGAGCACCCAAACCAAGAAUGUAAAGGGGAGUUUAAAGAAAGAAAGAAUGGCCAGUGCCAAGAGGUCAAGUAACGGAAGGACUGCCUUGCAGGUGAUUCUACAUGAGACUAGAACUAUGGAUUCAAGAAACAUACUUACAAACAAACUUGAGACAGGUUCAAACUGCCAGGACCAAGAGUGCAGAGAGAGAGUUAAAUCACAGAGAAAGAAGAGGCGCAGGGUGAAGCAGUAGGGAUAAUAAAGGCAACAUUACAGAAAUUGUCAAGGCAAGAAAAUGCACUGUUGAGAAAAGAAAAAACUUGAAGCAAGUCCUUGAUAGUACCAAACGCUGCACAAGACCAAAACUGAAGACAGAACAGACUGCUAAGUGCAAAGGUGGGCAGGUACAAGCUGAGAAUGUAGAUCUAAAAAUGUAAAGAAUUCUAAUCCCUCUUUCAAGUUUUCACUAUGCCCACACUUCAUCAAGAGUGACCAUAUGUGACACAUGAAGGGAAAGACACUGAUUAUGCUGGGACAGGCAUACUCUGAGGGGUGUCCUGAGCAAAUCAGACAUACAGUCACCCUAUGAUAGCUAUAAACAAAGUUAGUUUACUCAAUUCAAGCUGAGUUUCCUCAAGACAUUGAAAAGCAAUGCCUUACAUUUUAAAACACUUUCUUCUUGUAACGAGGACUUUCAUGAAAUGCUAACUGGAAUGAUUAAGUAUUGGCACUACUGAGCCGUAUUCCUUCAAAGAAACAGAGGCCAAAAAAGGAAAAAAAAUAUAAACGUACAUUAAGCUCAACUUUGGAUUCCAUGAGGCGAGGAUGGUCUGCACAGUCCACCAGAAAGACAAUCCCAUUAAUGGCGGGGAGGUAAUUUUUCCAAACCCGACGUGCUAAAAGACAAAGUUUGUAGCUGCAUCAAUUAAAAAAUAGAUAUAUUUUGAAAUCAAAUAACCUAAUGGUCUAUAAAGUAGGAAAAUCUUGGCCAGGUUUCAAUAGCAUUAGACUUCAUAUGGAUUCUCCAAGUCCUAGCCAGUAUUAAGUCAGAACAGAGGGUAUAAACUGAUGGUCCAUGAACUUAAUCUGAUUUUUUAAAAUUCGAAAAUCAGGGUUUUGUGCCUGAUUUUCUGAAAAUCCCAUGCCUACCUACUCACACAUCAAUAAUCAGCAGGAACUGAGUUGUGGCUGCCCCUUUAGACGAGGUCUGGGCUCUUCGGUUUGCCAAAGUUUCCACCACUCCCUACUGUCUUCUACACUCAAUGUCACUCACGUAAAUGACCUACCUCACCCCUCGGGUCAAUUCAGUUUGCAACCUCUGAGUUAAAAUAUCAGGAUACAAAUUGUCCAUAUAACUUUAGUCCCAAGUUAGUUCCUGCCUAACCAGUAUAUAACUUAUCCACUCAGCCCUCAGGUACAUUGGGCCUGACAGGUGGUUGAAGUUCCCAGGCCAAUUACCUCAGCCUCCUAUAUUUAACCCAGUGUGCUCUAUACAUUUUUUUUGGUUUGACAUGAAGUGAUAAUGUUUUGGAAAGCAAUGCUUUAAUUAUAUAAUUUCUAAGCCACUCAUUUCUAGUCCUUUCAAUGGGCUGAAUACAGACGCAUCUCUACAUGAGACAGUUAACAAUGAUGGCCUGUGAAGCGCCGGACUGGGAAGGAGAGCGGGAGGAACUUUCACUCUUCCCUUCCCUAUCUAUAUACUGAUUGUCGACUGAAUUUGUUAUAUUGACCCUGGACUACUUCUAUAAAUUAAAUUUUUUAAGUUAUACAAAAAAAAGGAAACCUCCAAAUGUACUCUAGUCAGCAUUGUAGCCACUUCUGUAAAACAGUGGCGAGGUUAUGAUGAAAAAGUGUUUCUGUAAGUAACUCUUCCUCAAACAAAACAACACUACAUACAUCAACACAUUUCCCUUGUUAGUCUAUCAAAAGCUGAAAGCUAAAUUUAUCACACCAAAUAAUACACAAUUCUCAGUUCAGGUGUCUUAAAAACACCUACUCCUGCAUUCUCCAGAUGGUCUAUAUGCAACUUACAAUUGUAUUACCUCUGAAUUUAAAUUUGUAAGCAGUUAUAAAUCCUUUUGAAAGAAGCAGAAAAGACACCAUACAGCCACUCCUAUCCAAAUGAAAAUAAUACAAUCUCAUCAUAGAAAAAAAGGAAGUAAGAUAAUCUAUAAUCCUCCAUCAAAACACAGUCACUGCUAAUGUUUCUGUAUAUUUUCUUUCAAUCUUUUUUCUGUACAGGUAUUUUAUGUGAUUGUGAUCAUACUACAUAUAUGUAGGAUAUAAAUAUUCAAUAAAAUAAAUAUAAUUAUAUGUUAACGAAAUCACUGACUAUAAAAUUACUUGGACCGCUUCUCAGCCUUUUGGCCAAAAUUAUUUGGCUGAAUGAUUAAAAUUACCAAUAUUCUCUUUUUUUAACUCUAUUUUUAAAAAACUAUAUUAGAUUAAACCUAAUAUAAUGCUUCAAAUGCUCUCAACUCAAUUUAAAAACAAAUGAAUAAAUCUGACAGAAUCUGAAUAGUUUCUUUUUUCUACUUUCCCAAAAUAUUUAUCCCCGCAUCUUAAAUGUUUUACGCCUAAGCCUAGAGUCUUGCCAAAUGUAAAGUGAGUGUCCAUCACAUAAAGAUGCCUCAUUCUGUGUAUCUCUAAAACACAUACAAGACACCUAAGAGGAGCCUGGGAAGCAGACAGACACACCUGAGUAAGGCAAAAGCACUGGAGGAGAACAAGAAGGCAGAAGCAAAUGCUCCCCAACUGCUCCAAACAGGGAGAGCACACAAAAUAUCGAUUUACAUCAGUGUCACAAGUAGUCACUGUAUUAUUCUCGCAACUUUUGACAAGUCUGAAACUACUUACAAAGAAUAACAAUUUUCUACAUAUUUAUACUCCAUUAAUAAAGAAUACAAAAGAGACGAUUAAAUGUGAUGUGUGAUAUUGUACUGGAUCUUGAUUAAGAGGAAAAAUGCUAUAAGGGAGAUCAUUGGGACAAUCGACAAAAAAGGAGUAUACACUAUACAGUAGAUAAAAAUAAAACCACUUGGGUUUGAUAACCGUUAUGACUAUAUAGGGAAUAUUCUUGUUCUUAGGAAAUAUGCAUUAAAGAAUUAAGGAAUAAAAGAGUAUGAUGAAUUCAGAAAUGUUUGAAGAAAAAUAAUAUUAACAUGCAUUGUAUAAAGAGAGAGACUAAUAAAUCUGGGCAAAAAGUAUAAAGGAGUAGAUUUCUCUGUAUUAAUUAUGCAACUUUCAACAAAUUUGAAAUUACUUAAAAAUAAGUGAAUAAAACAAUUUCAUUAAAGGAA
Molecule: non-coding RNA, 5845 nt
Organism: Equus caballus (horse)
Lineage: Eukaryota; Metazoa; Chordata; Mammalia; Perissodactyla; Equidae
Source: RefSeq, a predicted model, not a curated record